RNAcentral lists this unclassified non-coding RNA (161 nucleotides) under soil metagenome. RNAcentral describes it as "partial internal transcribed spacer 1". The record is from RNAcentral.
AAGAGACGUUGCCCUUCGGGGUAUACCUCCCACCCUUUGUUUAUUGUACCUUUGUUGCUUUGGCGGGCCCGUCCUCGGACCACCGGCUUCUGCUGGUCAGUGCCCGCCAGAGGACCUAAAACUCUGUUUGUUAAUAUUGUCUGAGUACUAUAUAAUAGUUA